Molecule: non-coding RNA, 148 nt
Filed under: Nomascus leucogenys (northern white-cheeked gibbon)
Lineage: Eukaryota; Metazoa; Chordata; Mammalia; Primates; Hylobatidae
Source: Rfam by way of RNAcentral
GCUGGGCGUGGUGGUGCACGCCUGUAAUCCCAGCUACUCUGGAGGCUGAGGCAGGAGAAUCGCUUGAACCCGGGAGGUGGAGGCUGCAGUGAGCUGAGAUGGCACCAUUGCACUACAGCCUGGGCAAUAGAGUGAGAUUCCGUCUCAA